RNAcentral lists this transfer RNA (83 nucleotides) under Arthrobacter globiformis. RNAcentral describes it as "tRNA-Leu". It matches the Rfam family "tRNA". From Rfam's summary of the family: Transfer RNA (tRNA) molecules are approximately 80 nucleotides in length. Lineage: Bacteria; Bacillati; Actinomycetota; Actinomycetes; Micrococcales; Micrococcaceae. RNAcentral also lists the same sequence under 4 other names. The record is from RNAcentral.
GCGCGGGUGGCGGAAUGGCAGACGCGCUAGCUUGAGGUGCUAGUCCUCGAAAGGGGGUGGGGGUUCAAGUCCCCCUUCGCGCA